RNAcentral lists this ribosomal RNA (774 nucleotides) under uncultured Neocallimastigales. RNAcentral's name for it is "partial large subunit ribosomal RNA". It matches the Rfam family "Eukaryotic large subunit ribosomal RNA", at positions 18 to 608 of the family's 3401-position model. The record is from RNAcentral. Lineage: Eukaryota; Fungi; Neocallimastigomycota; Neocallimastigomycetes; Neocallimastigales.
UCAGACGAUGCGUCAUGCAUAUCAAUAAGCGGAGGAAAAGAAACUAACAUGGAUUCCCCUAGUAACGGCGAGUGAAGCGGGAAGAGCUCAAAUUUGAAAUCUUAAAGGGUUUCCCUUUACGAAUUGUAGUUUAAAGAAGUGUUUUCUGUUGAGGUUUUGGUAAAAGUUCUUUGGAAUAGGACAUCAUAGAGGGUGAGAAUCCCGUAUUUGACCUUUACUUUCAACUUUGUGAUACACUUUCAAAGAGUCGGAUUGUUUGGGAAUGCAGUCCAAAAUGGGUGGUAAAUUUCAUCUAAAGCUAAAUAUUGGCGAGAGACCGAUAGCGAACAAGUACCGUGAGGGAAAGAUGAAAAGAACUUUGAAAAGAGAGUUAAACAGUACGUGAAAUUGUCAAAAGGGAAGCGUUUGACACCAGUGUUGUUUUUCUGAAAAUCAAUUAAAGAACUGUUUAUGCUAAGCUGUUUAGACUUUAUCAGCUAUCUGUUUAGUUUUGAGCUUUUCUUUAAUGCACUUUUCAGUUAACAAGUCAACAGUCAAUUUCUUUUGCUGUAAAAAAGCUUGAGGAAGGUGGCUUGAGAUUCGUCUUAAGUGUUUAUAGCCUCUUGCCUAUGCAGUCGGAGAGAUUGAGGUCUGCAGCGUAGAUCCUUCGGGGCUAAAUGCAUUUGUGCUAAGUUAUAGCAUUUUAUAGACAACUUGUUGACUAUGAUUUGUCUUGUAGCUUACUCGCUUAUGUUAUUUUACCUACGCUUAGGAUGUUGACACACGCGCGUGCUC